UCAGACGAUGCGUCAUGCAUAUCAAUAAGCGGAGGAAAAGAAACUAACAAGGAUUCCCCUAGUAACGGCGAGUGAAGCGGGAAGAGCUCAAAUUUGAAAUCUUCAAGGUUUUACCUUGACGAAUUGUAGUUUAAAGAAGUGUUUUCUGCUGAAGUUUUGGUAAAAGUUCUUUGGAAUAGGACAUCAUAGAGGGUGAGAAUCCCGUAUUUGACCAUUAUUUUCAGCUUUGUGAUACACUUUCAAAGAGUCGGAUUGUUUGGGAAUGCAGUCCAAAAUGGGUGGUAAAUUUCAUCUAAAGCUAAAUAUUGGCGAGAGACCGAUAGCGAACAAGUACCGUGAGGGAAAGAUGAAAAGAACUUUGAAAAGAGAGUUAAACAGUACGUGAAAUUGUCAAAAGGGAAGCGUUUGACACCAGUGUUGUUUUCUCGAAAAUCAAUUAAAAAUGGCUCGAUUUUGUAUUGUUUGAGACCUUAAAAGCUCACUGUACAUUUUUCGUGUCUUUUUUAAUGCACUUUUCGUUUAACAAGUCAACAUCAGUUUCUUUUGUUGUAAAAGGGUCAUUGGAAGGUGGCUUUCUUUUCGGAGAAAGUGUUUAUAGCCUUUGGCCUCUGCAAUCGGAGAGACUGAGGUCUGCAGCGUAGACUCUUCGGGGUUAGAUACAUUUGUGCUAAGUUAUAGCUUUUUAUAGACAACUUGUUGACUAUAAUUAGUCUUGUAGCUUACUCGCUUAUGCUAUUUUACCUACGCUUAGGAUGUUGACUGAUAUGUAGUCGUA
This 775-nucleotide ribosomal RNA is filed under the name uncultured Neocallimastigales. RNAcentral describes it as "partial large subunit ribosomal RNA". It matches the Rfam family "Eukaryotic large subunit ribosomal RNA", at positions 18 to 644 of the family's 3401-position model. Lineage: Eukaryota; Fungi; Neocallimastigomycota; Neocallimastigomycetes; Neocallimastigales. The record is from RNAcentral.